This is a long non-coding RNA of Triticum dicoccoides, 527 nucleotides long. RefSeq lists it as uncharacterized. The record is from RefSeq and is a predicted model, not a curated record. The transcript has 2 exons. NCBI's taxonomy places the organism in Eukaryota, Viridiplantae, Streptophyta, Magnoliopsida, Poales, Poaceae.
GCAACCGAUCCGGAAGAUGACCAGCUGGUUGUCGUCCGUCGAGAAGAUAGAGGUGAAUGGUGAUGCCCGCGGCCGCGGGAGCGGAGGGGAAGCUGCUGUGCGUCGUCUGCCUCGUCCCGCGCCCGGAAGAUCCACCCGUGCAGGGAGAUUAUGUGGAACAACGUGUGCAGCACAGCAUCAAGCGCCUUGGUUACGUUCUCGAUGCUAAAUAGUUCACUUACGUAGCACUUCUGCAGAGGAAUGAUACGUAGGUAUGGAUAAAUCAUAAAUGGCUGACUAUCUAGAAACAUUUUUGUUGGUGGUGUAAUUUCCUAACACCACUUUCCAGUUUCAGACUUAAGCCCGUUCACCCAAAUCGCGUCUCCGAAAAGUCCAAUCUGAACCCCAGACCCAAAUUGUAACGGCGAGAUGUUUAAUUUCUCAUUGAUACGUACCACACGGCAGGUGCGGUCCACUAUAUUAAGUUGAUGAGUAUUUGAAUGAUAUAGAUUGCCCCCAUUAAGAAAAUGUAUCGUUGAUCAUGCUCA